GACGAACGCUGGCGGCGUGCUUAACACAUGCAAGUCGAACGGAAAGGCCCUGCUUUUGUGGGGUGCUCGAGUGGCGAACGGGUGAGUAACACGUGAGUAACCUGCCCUUGACUUUGGGAUAACUUCAGGAAACUGGGGCUAAUACCGGAUAGGAGCUCCUGCUGCAUGGUGGGGGUUGGAAAGUUUCGGCGGUUGGGGAUGGACUCGCGGCUUAUCAGCUUGUUGGUGGGGUAGUGGCUUACCAAGGCUUUGACGGGUAGCCGGCCUGAGAGGGUGACCGGCCACAUUGGGACUGGGGUACGGCCCAGACUCCUUCGGGAGGCAGCAGUGGGGAAUAAUGGACAAUGGGCGGAAGCCUGAUGCAGCAACGCCGCGUGCGGGAUGACGGCCUUCGGGUUGUAAACCGCUUUCGCCUGUGACGAAGCGUGAGUGACGGUAAUGGGUAAAGAAGCACCGGCUAACUACGUG
Molecule: ribosomal RNA, 468 nt
Filed under: uncultured bacterium
Lineage: Bacteria
Description: partial 16S ribosomal RNA
Rfam family: Bacterial small subunit ribosomal RNA
Source: RNAcentral